GGGUUGUGAGGUUAAGCGAAUAAGCGUACACGGUGGAUGCCUAGGCAAUCAGAGGCGAUGAAGGACGUGCUAAUCUGCGAAAAGCGUCGGUAAGGUGAUAUGAACCGUUAUACCCGACGAUAUCCGAAUGGGGAAACCCAGUAUCCAAUGGAUACUAUCAUUAACUGAAUCCAUAGGUUAAUGAGGCGAACCGGGAGAACUGAAACAUCUCAGUACCCCGAGGAAAAGAAAUCAACCGAGAUUCCCCUAGUAGCGGCGAGCGAACGGGGAGCAGCCCAGAGUCUUAAUCAAUAGCAGUGUCAGGAGAACGGUCUGGAAAGUCCGGCAGUAAAGGGUGAUAGCCCCGUAUCUGAAGAUGCUGUUAUUGUGAACUCGACGAGUAGGGCGGGACACGUGUUAUCCUGUCUGAAUAUGGGGGGACCAUCCUCCAAGGCUAAAUACUCCUGAUUGACCGAUAGUGAACCAGUACCGUGAGGGAAAGGCGAAAAGAACCCCGGCGAGGGGAGUGAAAAAGAACCUGAAACCGUGUACGUACAAGCAGUAGGAGCCUCUUUAUGGGGUGACUGCGUACCUUUUGUAUAAUGGGUCAGCGACUUAUAUUCUGUAGCAAGGUUAACCGUAUAGGGGAGCCGUAGGGAAACCGAGUCUUAACUGGGCGAAUGAGUUGCAGGGUAUAGACCCGAAACCCGGUGAUCUAUCCAUGGGCAGGUUGAAGGUUGGGUAACACUAACUGGAGGACCGAACCGACUAAUGUUGAAAAAUUAGCGGAUGACUUGUGGAUGGGGGUGAAAGGCCAAUCAAACCGGGAGAUAGCUGGUUCUCCCCGAAAGCUAUUUAGGUAGCGCCUCGUGAACUCAUCUUCGGGGGUAGAGCACUGUUUCGACUAGGGGGUCAUCCCGACUUACCAACUCGAUGCAAACUGCGAAUACCGAAGAAUGUUAUCACGGGAGACACACGGCGGGUGCUAACGUCCGUCGUGAAGAGGGAAACAACCCAGACCGCCAGCUAAGGUCCCAAAGUCAUGGUUAAGUGGGAAACGAAGUGGGAAGGCUCAGACAGCCAGGAUGUUGGCUUAGAAGCAGCCAUCAUUUAAAGAAAGCGUAAUAGCUCACUGGUCGAGUCGGCCCGCGCGGAAGAUGUAACGGGGCUAAACCAUGCACCGAAGCUGCGGCAGCGACACAAAGUGUUGUUGGGUAGGGGAGCGUUCUGUAAGCCUGCGAAGGUGUACUGUGAGGUAUGCUGGAGGUAUCAGAAGUGCGAAUGCUGACAUAAGUAACGAUAAUGCGGGUGAAAAACCCGCACGCCGGAAGACCAAGGGUUCCUGUCCAACGUUAAUCGGGGCAGGGUGAGUCGACCCCUAAGGCGAGGCUGAAAAGCGUAGUCGAUGGGAAACGGGUUAAUAUUCCCGUACUGGUGGUAACUGCGAUGGGGGAACGGAGAAGGCUAGGUUGUCCGGGCGACGGUCGUCCCGGUUCAAGCAGGUAGGCAGAGUGAUUAGGCAAAUCCGGUCACUUAAUGCUGAGAUGUGAUGACGAACCACCAAGGUGGUGAAGCAAUUGAUGCCCCGCUUCCAGGAAAAGCCUCUAAGCUUCAGGUUACCAACAAUCGUACCCCAAACCGACACAGGUGGUCAGGUAGAGAAUACUCAGGCGCUUGAGAGAACUCGGGUGAAGGAACUAGGCAAAAUGGUGCCGUAACUUCGGGAGAAGGCACGCUGGCGGUAGGUAAAGUCCCUUGCGGACGGAGCUGAAGCCAGUCGAAGAUACCAGCUGGCUGCAACUGUUUAUUAAAAACACAGCACUGUGCAAACACGAAAGUGGACGUAUACGGUGUGACGCCUGCCCGGUGCUGGAAGGUUAAUUGAUGGGGUUAGCCGUAAGGCGAAGCUCCUGAUCGAAGCCCCAGUAAACGGCGGCCGUAACUAUAACGGUCCUAAGGUAGCGAAAUUCCUUGUCGGGUAAGUUCCGACCUGCACGAAUGGCGUAAUGAUGGCCAGGCUGUCUCCACCCGAGACUCAGUGAAAUUGAACUCGCUGUGAAGAUGCAGUGUACCCGCGGCAAGACGGAAAGACCCCGUGAACCUUUACUAUAGCUUGACACUGAACAUUGAGCCUUGAUGUGUAGGAUAGGUGGGAGGCUUUGAAGUGUGGACGCCAGUCUGCAUGGAGCCAACCUUGAAAUACCACCCUUUAACGUUUGAUGUUCUAACCUAGGCCCAUAAACUGGGUCGGGGACCGUGUCUGGUGGGUAGUUUGACUGGGGCGGUCUCCUCCUAAAGAGUAACGGAGGAGCACGAAGGUUGGCUAAGCAUGGUCGGACAUCAUGCGGUUAGUGCAAAGGCAUAAGCCAGCUUGACUGCGAGAGUGACGGCUCGAGCAGGUACGAAAGUAGGUCUUAGUGAUCCGGUGGUUCUGAAUGGAAGGGCCAUCGCUCAACGGAUAAAAGGUACUCCGGGGAUAACAGGCUGAUACCGCCCAAGAGUUCAUAUCGACGGCGGUGUUUGGCACCUCGAUGUCGGCUCAUCACAUCCUGGGGCUGAAGUAGGUCCCAAGGGUAUGGCUGUUCGCCAUUUAAAGUGGUACGCGAGCUGGGUUUAGAACGUCGUGAGACAGUUCGGUCCCUAUCUGCCGUGGGCGUUGGAAGAUUGAGAGGGGUUGCUCCUAGUACGAGAGGACCGGAGUGAACGCACCACUGGUGUUCGGGUUGUCAUGCCAAUGGCAUUGCCCGGUAGCUAAGUGCGGAAGAGAUAACCGCUGAAAGCAUCUAAGCGGGAAACUUGCCUCGAGAUGAGUCUUCCCUGUCGCUUUAAGCGACCUAAAGGAACGUUUAAGACUAAGACGUUGAUAGGCUGGGUGUGUAAGCGUAGCGAUACGUUGAGCUAACCAGUACUAAUGAACCGUGAGGCUUAACCUGACAACACCGAAAGUGUUUUG
Molecule: ribosomal RNA, 2932 nt
Filed under: Enterobacter hormaechei
Lineage: Bacteria; Pseudomonadati; Pseudomonadota; Gammaproteobacteria; Enterobacterales; Enterobacteriaceae
Description: 23S ribosomal RNA
Rfam family: Bacterial large subunit ribosomal RNA
Source: RNAcentral